UACAGAGGUCUCAAGCGUUGUUCGGAUUCAUUGGGCGUAAAGGGUGCGUAGGCGGCGCGGUAAGUCGGGUGUGAAAUCUCGGGGCUUAACUCCGAAACUGCAUUCGAUACUGCCGUGCUUGAGGACUGGAGAGGAGACUGGAAUUUACGGUGUAGCGGUGAAAUGCGUAGAUAUCGAGAGGAACACCAGUGGCGAAGGCGAGUCCCUGGACAACACCUGACACUGAGGCACGAAAGCUAGGGGAGCAAACAGG
RNAcentral lists this ribosomal RNA (253 nucleotides) under uncultured bacterium. RNAcentral describes it as "partial 16S ribosomal RNA". It matches the Rfam family "Bacterial small subunit ribosomal RNA", at positions 524 to 776 of the family's 1533-position model. The record is from RNAcentral.